UACAGAGGGUGCGAGCGUUAAUCGGAAUUACUGGGCGUAAAGCGUGCGUAGACGGUUAUUUAAGUCGGAUGUGAAAGCCCCGGGCUCAACCUGGGAAUUGCAUUCGAGACUGAAUAGCUAGGGUGCGGUAGAGGGAAGCGGAAUUUCCGGUGUAGCGGUGAAAUGCGUAGAUAUCGGGAGGAACACCUGUGGCGAAGGCGGCCCCCUGGUUGGAUACUGACGCUGAUACGCGAAAGCGUGGGGAGCAAACAGG
This 253-nucleotide ribosomal RNA is filed under the name uncultured bacterium. RNAcentral's name for it is "partial 16S ribosomal RNA". It matches the Rfam family "Bacterial small subunit ribosomal RNA", at positions 524 to 776 of the family's 1533-position model. The record is from RNAcentral.